GGGGAAUAUUGCACAAUGGGGGAAACCCUGAUGCAGCGACGCCGCGUGAGUGAAGAAGUAUUUCGGUAUGUAAAGCUCUAUCAGCAGGGAAGAAAAUGACGGUACCUGACUAAGGAGCCCCGGCUAACUACGUGCCAGCAGCCGCGGUAAUACGUAGGGGGCAAGCGUUAUCCGGAUUUACUGGGUGUAAAGGGAGCGUAGGUGGCAAAUCAAGUCAGAUGUGAAAGCCCGGGGCUCAACUCCGGGAUUGCAUUUGAAACUGGUAUGCUAGAGUGCAGGAGAGGUAAGUGGAAUUCCUAGUGUAGCGGUGAAAUGCGUAGAUAUUAGGAGGAACACCAGUGGCGAAGGCGGCUUACUGGACCGUAACUGACACUGAGGCUCGAAAGCGUGGGGAGCAAAC
Molecule: ribosomal RNA, 400 nt
Filed under: uncultured bacterium
Lineage: Bacteria
Description: bacterial SSU rRNA
Rfam family: Bacterial small subunit ribosomal RNA
Source: RNAcentral